Molecule: ribosomal RNA, 415 nt
Filed under: uncultured bacterium
Lineage: Bacteria
Description: bacterial SSU rRNA
Rfam family: Bacterial small subunit ribosomal RNA
Source: RNAcentral
UAUUGCACAAUGGGGGAAACCCUGAUGCAGCGACGCCGCGUGAGUGAAGAAGCGUUUCGGCGCGUAAAGCUCUGUCAGCGGGGAAGAAACACGGUUCGCGAGAGCCGCGGACGGUACCCGACCAAGAAGCCCCGGCUAACUACGUGCCAGCAGCCGCGGUAAUACGUAGGGGGCAAGCGUUAUCCGGAUUUACUGGGUGUAAAGGGAGCGUAGGCGGUUCAGCAAGUCAGAAGUGAAAGCCCGGGGCUCAACUCCGGGACUGCUUUUGAAACUGUUGAACUAGAUUGCAGGAGAGGUAAGUGGAAUUCCUAGUGUAGCGGUGAAAUGCGUAGAUAUUAGGAGGAACACCAGUGGCGAAGGCGGCUUACUGGACUGUAAAUGACGCUGAGGCUCGAAAGCGUGGGGAGCAAACAGG